CAGAGUUUUUAAUUUAUAACAUAAAUAUUUUAAAAUAACAGGUUUCCUUUGUAAUUCUGUAUAUUUUUUUUAUUUUAUGCACUUAAAAACAUUCUGAGAAAGGCUCUAUAGCUGCGUUGGUGAACCUAUGGUAUGUGUGCCAGAGGAGGCUGCUGAGGACAUUUUUCAUAUCACCCUCCCCUCUGCCCAGCAGUUCAGUGGAAACACUUCUUCCCUCUCCUCUCUGGGGAAAGCAGAGGAUAGAGCACUGGGCCUGAAGUCAGAAAGACUCAUCUACAGUAUCUUUGCCAAGAAAGCUCCAUGUCGAGUCAUAAAAGUCAGGCACAACUGCAAAAAUGAAUCCACAGCAACAAUUAUGAACAAACGUCCAACAAUUGGAGAGUCAAUUCAAGGAUGGUUGCUUUUAGUAAUAGAAGAUUUAAGAGGGUUUUCUUUAAAAACAUUUGAUUGACACAUGUGCACACCCACAGUGAGCAACUGAUGCUCCCAGAAUCUGCAGAUGGCAAUUUAUCUGUUUGGGCCUCUUUGUCUGAAUGGGAAAUAGCUGAGAGUCACACUUCACUACAUCCCAUCAAUUUGGAAAUGUUAAGAUCCUGGAGAGAAGGCCACUGUGGGUUGGAUAAUUGGAGUGGCAUGGAGACUGAAGAAAGGGAGAUUUUUUUUACCUGAAAGAAGUAGCUGAUCUGCUCAGUUUCUGGGCAAAGGAAAUAGAAUUGAUUCUGCCAAUUAAAAAUUUAAAGGAUUGCAAAUGUAUUAGUAGAAUUGAACCAAACA
RNAcentral lists this long non-coding RNA (774 nucleotides) under Monodelphis domestica (gray short-tailed opossum). Its description in RNAcentral is "lncRNA (ENSMODG00000035270.2)". The record is from RNAcentral. Lineage: Eukaryota; Metazoa; Chordata; Mammalia; Didelphimorphia; Didelphidae.